GACGAACGCUGGCGGCGUGCUUAACACAUGCAAGUCGAACGGAAAGGCCCUGCUUUUGUGGGGUGCUCGAGUGGCGAACGGGUGAGUAACACGUGAGUAACCUGCCCUUGACUUUGGGAUAACUUCAGGAAACUGGGGCUAAUACCGGAUAGGAGCUCCUGCUGCAUGGUGGGGGUUGGAAAGUUUCGGCGGUUGGGGAUGGACUCGCGGCUUAUCAGCUUGUUGGUGGGGUAGUGGCUUACCAAGGCUUUGACGGGUAGCCGGCCUGAGAGGGUGACCGGGCACCUUGGGACUGAGAGACGGCCCAGUCUCCUACGGUAGGCAGCAGUGGGGAAUAUUGCAGAAUGGGCGGAAGCCUGAUGCAGCAACGCCGCGUGCGGGAUGACGGCCUUCGGGUUGUAAACCGCUUUCGCCUGUGACGAAGCGUGAGUGACGGUAAUGGGUAAAGAAGCACCGGCUAACUACGUG
This 468-nucleotide ribosomal RNA is filed under the name uncultured bacterium. RNAcentral's name for it is "partial 16S ribosomal RNA". It matches the Rfam family "Bacterial small subunit ribosomal RNA", at positions 28 to 507 of the family's 1533-position model. The record is from RNAcentral.